GAUGAAGAACGUAGCGAAAUGCGAUAAGUAGUGUGAAUUGCAGAAUUCAGUGAAUCAUCGAAUCUUUGAACGCACAUUGCGCCCUCUGGUAUUCCGGAGGGCAUGCCUGUUCGAGCGUCAUUAAAACUACUCAAGCUAAGGUUUUACCUUCUGCUUGGUCUUGGGUUUGAGGAUUCAAAAUCCUCUCUCCGAAAUCCAGUGGCGAAUUGUUUGAGCUGUAGACGUAGUAAAUCAUUCUACCCGUUGCAAGCGAGAAUAAUAUUCAGCCAUAAACCCCAUACUUUUCUAGUUUGACCUCGGAUCAGGUAGGGAUACCCGCUGAACUUAAGCAUAUCAAUAAGCGGAGGA
RNAcentral lists this unclassified non-coding RNA (348 nucleotides) under soil metagenome. RNAcentral describes it as "partial contains 5.8S ribosomal RNA, internal transcribed spacer 2, and large subunit ribosomal RNA". The stretch from base 1 to 120 matches the Rfam family "5.8S ribosomal RNA", at positions 35 to 154 of the family's 154-position model. The record is from RNAcentral.